CCCCCCAAACCUAGACAGCAGGGCCUGGUGAACCCCUGGGGUGCCUUUCAGGGGGCGCACAGGCAGCUCUCAGUGAGGGGCCAUGCUGGGUGCUGCCACUCGGGAAAGAGGGCAAGGUGAGGGGUAACCCAGAGCCCUGCCUUGAGUCACCCACCUCCUCCAUCUGAGGCCUGCACACCUCACUUCAGGGGCCUGGGAAGAGGCCCACCUGGGGGAAGGUGCGUUCCCUGCCUGGCCUCCCUCACCUUCUCUUGAAAAGAGCGUUGAGGUCUUCUUUCAGUUCUUUCUAGAGAAAGUGGGUCAGGGCCUGACUUUGCCAGAUGAUUGCCAUGAGAUUUGAGCUUUCCUGACUCAGUUUCCUCCUUCUGAACAGUGGAGGUGGCCUGGGUGGGUGUGGACAGUAAGGGCACUCGGGGUCUCUUUCUCACAGACCAGCCCCCUCCCAGAAUCCCAGGACCCCUUCCUCCCAGCCUGGUGUGAGGGGCCGAGUUCUCGACAUCCCCCAGCUGAUCCUGGACGGGGGCUCCUCUAGUCUGGACUUGGGUACCCCCACUUCCCACUGCUCCUUCCAGCCUGCCCUCUCUCCACGGUGCUGGAGGUGAAAGAGUUAAUCACAUCUGUGGUGGCUCCUUCCUGGACUCCUCCAAGAUAUAUAUUUAGCAGGCGGGGCGGGGUAGGGCAGGAAGGGCAUGCCAAAAUGCCCUGGCACCGCAGCCCCUGCCUUACCACACUGCUCUUCAGAGGGAGGGGUGCGCAGGCAGUGCCACGGGAGCCGGGUAGGAUGGAGGAGGGGACCUAUCUAAAUGGAGGGAAGGGGCAGGUGAAUGGAUCAGCUCAGUUAGACCCAAGAGAGCCUCCUGCUUGUCCUAGACCUCAUUUUCCCGACCCAGUGGCAUUCCAGCCACACCUGCUAAGGCCUUGGGUACCUGCACACCAGAGUAGCAGCUCCUCCAGCCGGCAGAGAAAGACUUCAUUUGCCACAGUCAGCAGCAGCCCACUCGGGAAGCAACCCAGGGUCCGCUUGCCACCCAGCCAUGCCAGCUGA
RNAcentral lists this long non-coding RNA (1045 nucleotides) under Macaca fascicularis (crab-eating macaque). RNAcentral's name for it is "lncRNA (ENSMFAG00000061330.1)". The record is from RNAcentral. Lineage: Eukaryota; Metazoa; Chordata; Mammalia; Primates; Cercopithecidae.